This 104-nucleotide small nuclear RNA is filed under the name Choloepus hoffmanni (Hoffmann's two-fingered sloth). Lineage: Eukaryota; Metazoa; Chordata; Mammalia; Pilosa; Megalonychidae. The record is from RNAcentral.
GUGCUUGCUUCGGCAACACAUAUACUAAAAUUGGAAUGAUACAGAAAUUAGCACGACCCCUGUGUAAGGAUGACAUGCAAAUUUGUGAAGCAUUCCAUAUUUUU